GACUUCUGCGUGCAUGCCUGUACCAGUGUGUGCUCUGAGAGUGAUUACAUCUUCAAACAGGGAGCUGUGACCAGACCUGCACCUGGGAUGCAGGCACCAACACUGCAGACAGGGGACUGCUCUACCAGGACUUCAAGAGCUGCCUUUCUGUCCAAGUUCUCCCCAAGAAGUGCCGUUUCUAAGCCUGGCUGUAAAAGCACAGCGAAGUGCUGCAGAGCCCAGUGCAGCUGUCAGCCCCAGCACGGAUCUAAUUCCUUCUGACAUUUCACACAGCUCUACUGGAAGCAGCAACACGCUUCACAUCCUGUCACUGCACAUCUAUUUGUCCAGCUGACUGUGGGGAAGAAUCAGCUCUUGGAAAAUGAAGGCCCGUGCCAAACAAUUUGCACCAAGAGAGGUAUACUGAAGUCUAUACACAGCCUAUGAGGAAGAGCUGCAUCCAGGGCUUCUUCAGUCUAGCCAAGACUUGACAGGAGACAUGACUGCUGCUUGCAAACAGGAGAAGGUUACUUGAACAACAGAAGGGAGCCUGGGACAGGGGCACCCCUCAGCACACAGAACAGUGGAUCCAGUCCUGUGCUCCCAGCAGCAGACACUUGUCAUGCUGCAGACCAACCCCACGGGCAGCAGCGAGGGAUUCCGGGAAGAACCUCCUUUCAACGUCUGCUGAGAAAUGGGC
This is a long non-coding RNA of Gallus gallus (chicken), 679 nucleotides long. RefSeq lists it as uncharacterized. The record is from RefSeq and is a predicted model, not a curated record. NCBI's taxonomy places the organism in Eukaryota, Metazoa, Chordata, Aves, Galliformes, Phasianidae. The transcript has 4 exons.